This 202-nucleotide long non-coding RNA is filed under the name Solanum tuberosum (potato). Its description in RNAcentral is "long non-coding RNA (STUB_LNC006405)". The record is from RNAcentral. Lineage: Eukaryota; Viridiplantae; Streptophyta; Magnoliopsida; Solanales; Solanaceae.
UUUGACUUGCUUCUUAACUUCUAGACUUGACUCUUAACUUCUUUGACUUUGAUCUUAACUUUCCUUGAAUUGGAUUAUGGAUUCAAGGCUCAUGAUCUCAUGUUUAUGGAUGAUUUCAUGAUGUUUAGAUGUACCUUAGAGUGUUGGAAUCAACUUAGAAACAUAGGUACAUUGCUAAGGAACAAGUAUUAAAAGGUAGGGG